This 347-nucleotide transfer-messenger RNA is filed under the name Candidatus Ventricola gallistercoris. It matches the Rfam family "transfer-messenger RNA". From Rfam's summary of the family: Bacterial tmRNA, also known as 10Sa RNA or SsrA, is named for its dual tRNA and mRNA-like properties. Its role is to liberate the mRNA from a stalled ribosome. Lineage: Bacteria; Bacillati; Bacillota; Clostridia; Eubacteriales. The record is from RNAcentral. RNAcentral also lists the same sequence under 2 other names.
GGGGGUGUACUGGUUUCGACGGGAUUGUGGGUGGUCAGGUAAGCGAGCCGUGGCCCCGGGCCACGAUAAAACCGGGAAUUUAAAAUGAACUGACAAUAGCGAAUACGCUCUCGCUGCCUAAUUAGGCGGCGCGUCGGCCCGGUGAUCCCGCUGCACCGGAACCCGGCGUCAAUUAGCGGGCCAUGUUCAUGCCUAAGCUUUGCGGCAUGAACACAUCAUGAAGCUACCGAAUCCUUAAGCCUGUCUGCGGGCGUCUGGAUGAGGGAAUUUGAAAUCACAGACUGCGCUCGGAGAAAGCCUGGCUGUCGCUUUUUCGGACAGGAGUUCGAUUCUCCUCACCUCCACCA